Molecule: long non-coding RNA, 625 nt
Organism: Penaeus monodon (black tiger shrimp)
Lineage: Eukaryota; Metazoa; Arthropoda; Malacostraca; Decapoda; Penaeidae
Exons: 3
Source: RefSeq, a predicted model, not a curated record
AGUUCAAGUUCAGGAAGGUGCCUGUGCUGAUGGUCGACGGCGAGCAGCUCCACCAGACCACCGUCAUCUGCAGGUUCCUGGGAGAGAGGCAUAACCUGGCCUCGGGAGACCUUUGGACGAUCACUCGGCAGAUGGAAGUCGUCGAGCUCUCCACGACCUCACGAACAGCAUGGGGAUGGCCUUGCUGGCCAGAAUACAAGGGAACGAGGAGCGGCAGAGGGUGAUGACGGGCUGACAGAGGUUCAAUUCCCUGUCGUCUUGAGCAACAUCGAAUGCAGGAUAACCGACCGAGGGUGGAUCCUCUCUCAGCAGAUGACGUGGGUUGAUGUGUUCAUAGCAGCUUACCUGGAUGUGUACUAAAAUUACUUCCAGGUGUGGUGGGCAGGUUCCCACUCUGUGAGGCUCUCCGGCGCCGCGUCCAGGACAUACCAAUUAUUAAGACGUGGCGACAAGAGAGGCCGGCGUGGCAUCCCUUUGAGGACCCAAAGGUUUGGUGGCGCCAAGCGACGGAUCGCAAUAGACGUCUUUCCGAUGUCGGGCCCGGAAAAUGUGAUCCUAGAAUGCAAACUCCAUUUAUGUACCGCUUUUUUAUUGGUUCAGCACAUUCAUAAUAUCAUGAGUCAUA